UACGUAGGGGGCAAGCGUUGUCCGGAAUCAUUGGGCGUAAAGGGCUCGUAGGUGGCCAACUAAGUCAGACGUGAAAUCCCUCGGCUUAACCGGGGAACUGCGUCUGAUACUGGAUGGCUUGAGUUCGGGAGAGGGAUGCGGAAUUCCAGGUGUAGCGGUGAAAUGCGUAGAUAUCUGGAGGAACACCGGUGGCGAAGGCGGCAUCCUGGACCGACACUGACACUGAGGAGCGAAAGCCAGGGGAGCAAACGGG
This 253-nucleotide ribosomal RNA is filed under the name uncultured bacterium. RNAcentral describes it as "partial 16S ribosomal RNA". It matches the Rfam family "Bacterial small subunit ribosomal RNA", at positions 524 to 776 of the family's 1533-position model. The record is from RNAcentral.